AUUGGACGCUGGCGGCAGGCCUAACACAUGCAAGUCGAGCGGAUGAAGGGAGCUUGCUCCUGGAUUCAGCGGCGGACGGGUGAGUAAUGCCUAGGAAUCUGCCUGGUAGUGGGGGAUAACGUCCGGAAACGGGCGCUAAUACCGCAUACGUCCUGAGGGAGAAAGUGGGGGAUCUUCGGACCUCACGCUAUCAGAUGAGCCUAGGUCGGAUUAGCUAGUUGGUGGGGUAAAGGCCUACCAAGGCGACGAUCCGUAACUGGUCUGAGAGGAUGAUCAGUCACACUGGAACUGAGACACGGUCCAGACUCCUAAGGGAGGCAGCAGUGGGGAAUAUUGGACAAAGGGCGAAAGCCUGAUCCAGCCAUGCCGCGUGUGUGAAGAAGGUCUUCGGAUUGUAAAGCACUUUAAGUUGGGAGGAAGGGCAGUAAGUUAAUACCUUGCUGUUUUGACGUUACCAACAGAAUAAGCACCGGCUAACUUCGUG
Molecule: ribosomal RNA, 484 nt
Filed under: uncultured bacterium
Lineage: Bacteria
Description: partial 16S ribosomal RNA
Rfam family: Bacterial small subunit ribosomal RNA
Source: RNAcentral